RNAcentral lists this unclassified non-coding RNA (949 nucleotides) under Zea mays. Its description in RNAcentral is "misc RNA Zm00001eb167450". The record is from RNAcentral. Lineage: Eukaryota; Viridiplantae; Streptophyta; Magnoliopsida; Poales; Poaceae.
CUGCAAGUUUAAUAGUACAGAAAACGAAAUGAUACACUAUCUCUUUGGUCAGGACCUUUUUUUGUAUUGGUAAAGGAGUUAUUUGUUCUCUGAAGAAUGGGGACAUAAUACAUAACCAAAUUGUAGAAAUAGAGGCCCCCAAAAGGAAUUUUGGCUGGUGAAAGGAAAAACAACCACUGUCGAUACCCAAUCUGAAUAUGAACAUUCUUAUUCCUCGUCAUCCUCGUCGUUGUGGAAGCGCAGGUGCCUCCCCUCCGGCAGCAGCAGCCCCCUAGGCAUCAGUGCGCCAAGCUCCGCCCUCGUCUCAGUCGCAUCUGCCACCUCCUCUCGUCCGAUCUCGUCGUCACUAUUGAUGAUGAACCUGGUGUGCUUCCCCUCGAGCUGCGUCAGCCCAGUCUUCUCUUCAUCCAACAUGGUCAUCCUGCCCAUCUCAUCUCAUCCUGCCCGAACCUUUUAGGUACCUUCAAAAUACCUUGCAACUUGUUUCUCCUUUCCUCCAUCGGCACGGUACCUGGAGAUGGUGGUGGUGCCCUCGUGAUGUAGUAGGAGGGAGGCUACAACGUCGAACUAGGCAGGGGAAGGGCGCCAACGGCUGAUGUCGAUGAGCCACCACAGCACCCCACUCUCAUCUGUCAUCCCCACCCCAAGACAGAGAGAGGAAGCAUCGCUCUUCACCUCCACCUCGGCCUUCACCUUCGUCGCCACCGCGACCUUGGUCUGGACACAGAUUGAGUCCUUCGCCAUCGCCGCCGUAGCCUGGACGCGGAUCAGGUCCUCGGUCAUCGCCGCCACAGCCUGGACACGGAUCUGGGCUGGCUUGGAGCCCCUUCGCACGAAGCUAGAGCUACGGUGUCGACCUCCAAGCACGCUUCCCCCAAACUUUCCUCUUCUGGACGACGCCUCCAUCGUCGACCUCCACGGCCUCCAAGCGUGCGUGCUAGAGAGCAAG